RNAcentral lists this ribosomal RNA (1358 nucleotides) under uncultured bacterium. RNAcentral describes it as "bacterial SSU rRNA". It matches the Rfam family "Bacterial small subunit ribosomal RNA", at positions 28 to 1381 of the family's 1533-position model. The record is from RNAcentral.
AUUGAACGCUGGCGGCAGGCUUAACACAUGCAAGUCGAGCGGAAACGAUAGUAGCUUGCUACUAGGCGUCGAGCGGCGGACGGGUGAGUAAUACUUAGGAAUCUGCCCAGUAGAGGGGGAUAGCUCGGGGAAACUCGAAUUAAUACCGCAUACACCUUACGAGGGAAAGGGGGCGCUUGCGCUCUCGCUAUUGGAUGAGCCUAAGACGGAUUAGCUAGUUGGUGGGGUAAGGGCCUACCAAGGCGACGAUCUGUAGCUGGUCUGAGAGGAUGAUCAGCCACACCGGAACUGAGACACGGUCCGGACUCCUACGGGAGGCAGCAGUGGGGAAUAUUGGACAAUGGGGGCAACCCUGAUCCAGCCAUGCCGCGUGUGUGAAGAAGGCCUUUUGGUUGUAAAGCACUUUAAGCAGUGAAGAAGAUCUAUUGGCUAAUACCUGAUAGUGAUGACAUUAGCUGCAGAAUAAGCACCGGCUAACUCUGUGCCAGCAGCCGCGGUAAUACAGAGGGUGCGAGCGUUAAUCGGAAUUACUGGGCGUAAAGCGAGCGUAGGUGGUUUAAUAAGUCAGAUGUGAAAUCCCCGGGCUUAACCUGGGAACUGCAUCUAAAACUGUUAGACUAGAGUAGAUGAGAGGGAGGUAGAAUUUCAGGUGUAGCGGUGAAAUGCGUAGAGAUCUGAAGGAAUACCGAUGGCGAAGGCAGCCUCCUGGCAUCAUACUGACACUGAGGUUCGAAAGCGUGGGUAGCAAACAGGAUUAGAUACCCUGGUAGUCCACGCCGUAAACGAUGUCUACUAGUCGUUGGGGGACAUGAUCUCUUAGUGACGCAGCUAACGCGAUAAGUAGACCGCCUGGGGAGUACGGCCGCAAGGUUAAAACUCAAAUGAAUUUGACGGGGGCCCGCACAAGCGGUGGAGCAUGUGGUUUAAUUCGAUGCAACGCGAAGAACCUUACCUGGUCUUGACAUACAGAGAAUCUUGUAGAGAUACGAGAGUGCCUUCGGGAAUUCUGAUACAGGUGCUGCAUGGCUGUCGUCAGCUCGUGUCGUGAGAUGUUGGGUUAAGUCCCGCAACGAGCGCAACCCUUUUCCUUAGUUACCAGCGAUUUGGUCGGGGACUUUAAGGAUACUGCCAGUGACAAACCGGAGGAAGGCGGGGACGACGUCAAGUCAUCAUGGCCCUUACGACCAGGGCUACACACGUGCUACAAUGGUAGGUACAGAGGGCAGCGACACGGCGACGUGUAGCGAAUCUCAAAAAGCCUAUCGUAGUCCGGAUUGGAGUCUGCAACUCGACUCCAUGAAGUCGGAAUCGCUAGUAAUCGCGGAUCAGAAUGCCGCGGUGAAUACGUUCCCGGGCCU